RNAcentral lists this unclassified non-coding RNA (285 nucleotides) under plant metagenome. RNAcentral's name for it is "partial contains small subunit ribosomal RNA, internal transcribed spacer 1, and 5.8S ribosomal RNA". The stretch from base 1 to 54 matches the Rfam family "Eukaryotic small subunit ribosomal RNA", at positions 1778 to 1831 of the family's 1831-position model. The record is from RNAcentral.
GGAAGUAGAAGUCGUAACAAGGUUUCCGUAGGUGAACCCGCGGAAGGAUCAUUAUUGUAUAACCGAGGUGCGAGGGCUGUCGCUGACCCGAAAGGUCGUGCACGCCCGAGUGCCCUCACACACAUCCAUCUCACCCCUAUGUGCACCACCGCGUGGAUCCCCCUUUGGCUUGUUCGGAGGGGGGCUUACGUUUUCACACAAACUUUGUAUGCAGUGUAGAAUGUAUUUUUUGUUUUUGCGAUCACGCAAUCAAUACAACUUUCAACAACGGAUCUCUUGGCUCUC